This 433-nucleotide ribosomal RNA is filed under the name uncultured bacterium. RNAcentral's name for it is "partial 16S ribosomal RNA". It matches the Rfam family "Bacterial small subunit ribosomal RNA", at positions 29 to 507 of the family's 1533-position model. The record is from RNAcentral.
AACGAACGCUGGCGGCAUGCCUAACACAUGCAAGUCGAACGAGACCUUCGGGUCUAGUGGCGCACGGGUGCGUAACGCGUGGGAACCUGCCCUUAGGUUCGGAAUAACUCCCCGAAAGGGGUGCUAAUACCGGAUAAUGUCUUCGGACCAAAGAUUUAUCGCCUUUGGAUGGGCCCGCGUUGGAUUAGCUAGUUGGUAGGGUAAAAGCCUAUCAAGGCGACGAUCCAUAGCUGGUCUGAUAGGAUGAUCAGCCACACUGGGACUGAGACACGGACCAGACUCCUACGGGAGGCAGCAGUGGGGAAUAUUGGACAAUGGGCGAAAGCCUGAUCCAGCAAUGCCGCGUGAGUGAUGAAGGCCUUAGGGUUGUAAAGCUCUUUUACACGGGAUGAUAAUGACAGUACCGGGAGAAUAAGCUCCGGCUAACUCCGUG